GAAUAUGAGGCCCUCCUGUAUGGGUUGCGCAUGGCCAUUUCACUCGGCGUCCGUCGCCUAAUGGUCUAUGGCGACUCGGAUUUAGUGGUCAAUCAGGUGAUGAAAGAGUGGGACGUGAGAAGCCCAGCCAUGACUGGAUACUGCAAUGCAGUGAGGAAGCUGGAGAAAAAGUUCGAGGGGUUGGAGCUCCAUCAUAUACCCCGACUGAAGAAUCAAGCAGCUGAUGAUCUAGCAAAGAUAGGUUCCAAGAGAGAAGCCAUUCCGAGUGGCGUGUUCUUGGAGCAUAUACAUACUCCGUCAGUCAAAGAAGACCCUUUCACAGAAGGAACUCCGCAGCCUAAGAGCGCCACAGAUCCGACUGAAGUGGAAGUCCCAGCAGUGGUCGACUUGGUCAUGGAGGUUUUGGUGGUCGUUCCCAACUGGACUAUUCCGUACGUCGCAUAUAUCUUGAGGAAAGAGCUUCCGGAGAAUGAGGAAGAGGCUCGACAGAUCGUCCGUCGAUCUAAAGCCUUUACCGUAAUCAAAGGACAAUUAUACAGAGAAAGUGCGACUGGAGUAGGCCAGAAGUGCAUAACGCCAGAAGAAGGUCGACUCAUCCUCAAUGAUAUUCACUCAGGGACCUGUGGUCACCAUGCGUCCUCUCGGACCAUCGUGGCCAAGGCAUACCGAGCCGGAUUUUACUGGCCCAAGGCGAAUGAGAUGGCAAAGGAGAUAGUGGAUAAGUGCGAGGGAUGUCAGUUCUACUCGAACAUGUCGCACAAGCCUGCGUCAGCUUUGAAGACCAUCCCACUCGUCUGGCCUUUUGCGGUUUGGGGGCUGGACAUGGUCGGCCCUUUGAGAACAGGACGAAGUGGCUUCACACAUGUACUGGUGGCAGUCGACAAGUUCACCAAGUGGAUCGAGGCUAAGCCAAUCAAGAGCCUCGAC
RNAcentral lists this ribosomal RNA (927 nucleotides) under Triticum aestivum (bread wheat). RNAcentral's name for it is "partial small subunit ribosomal RNA". The record is from RNAcentral. Lineage: Eukaryota; Viridiplantae; Streptophyta; Magnoliopsida; Poales; Poaceae.